UGAGAAAUCAUUGUGGUGGUCACCCUACUUUGGCAGAGUCUCAGAGGCAGUAGAUAAGUCUGCCUUAUAAAAGAGAUCCAGAGAAAUGAGUUGGCAAGACCCCCUUGGUGCCCUGUUAUCAUGAGUUCUGAUUGAGAAACACAGCAGGAUGAAUAAUAAAAGAUCCAGGAUAAAGUUGUGCUAGGAAACAAGAAACAGCAAAGACCCAGAGAUAUGAGCAGCCCACCAACUGCCAGGUCACGGAAGGCAAGAAUGUGAUGCUGCCCUCUGGAGCCUCCAAAGAGGGAGACAGGCACCACUCGGCAGUCAAGCUGAAGACACGGAGCAGCGUGCUUGCCAUCCACACAGCUGGAAAUCAUGGGGCAUGCAGGAAAGCAACUCUGCCAGAGUCACAGUGAAGGCUAUCCCAAAUCCUCGUGCUCAUCCAAGAAGACCAGCUGUGUUCAGGAAGAAGUAAUGGCCUAGUCCUUUUCUUCCUGGUUGCCAUCCUG
Molecule: long non-coding RNA, 491 nt
Filed under: Capra hircus (goat)
Lineage: Eukaryota; Metazoa; Chordata; Mammalia; Artiodactyla; Bovidae
Description: lncRNA (ENSCHIG00000007325.1)
Source: RNAcentral